RNAcentral lists this ribosomal RNA (472 nucleotides) under uncultured bacterium. RNAcentral describes it as "partial 16S ribosomal RNA". It matches the Rfam family "Bacterial small subunit ribosomal RNA", at positions 28 to 507 of the family's 1533-position model. The record is from RNAcentral.
GACGAACGCUGGCGGCGUGCUUAACACAUGCAAGUCGAACGAUGAACCCGGAGCUUGCUCUGGGGGAUUAGUGGCGAACGGGUGAGUAACACGUGAGUAACCUGCCCUGGACUCUGGGAUAAGCGUUGGAAACGACGUCUAAUACCGGAUAGGACCUUGGAUCGCAUGAUCUGGGGUGGAAAGUUUUUUCGGUCUGGGAUGGACUCGUGGCCUAUCAGCUUGUUGGUGAGGUAAUGGCUCACCAAGGCGUCGACGGGUAGCCGGCCUGAGAGGGUGACCGGCCACACUGGGACUGAGACACGGCCCAGACUCCUACGGGAGGCAGCAGUGGGGAAUAUUGCACAAUGGGCGAAAGCCUGAUGCAGCAACGCCGCGUGCGGGAUGACGGCCUUCGGGUUGUAAACCGCUUUUAGUAGGGAAGAAGGGCUUCGGCUUGACGGUACCUGCAGAAAAAGGACCGGCUAACUACGUG